This 914-nucleotide long non-coding RNA is filed under the name Dermacentor andersoni. RNAcentral describes it as "uncharacterized LOC126538402". Lineage: Eukaryota; Metazoa; Arthropoda; Arachnida; Ixodida; Ixodidae. The record is from RNAcentral.
CAAUAGUUUUCGCCUUUUAAGUGAUGCUUUUGCUAUUUUAACGUGUGGAGGUUCAUUGUACGUCUGUUUUUUCAAGUUUGGCAUGUGUUUUAACACUUGUGAAGGUGUAUUCUUUUCUCCUUCAGCGGAUAUUUGUACAAGACCCCGUUCACCGUCUAUCAGCACUGCAGAGCACAGUGCUGCAAUUUUCUCUUUGUGCAGUUGGAAGAAAAUUAUUCCUGCAGUGGCAGCGACUACACAGAAAAUGCACCCUACGAGAGUGGACAGAGUUCCAAUGUGACUGUGGUUUGAAAUGGUCUAGCCCCUGUGUAUACAAGCACCGAUUUUCCCAGACAAGUGUGACAGUGCCUGGCUUUGAAUGCAGUGUGCUGCUUCAUAAAUAUUGCAGUUGCCCAGCGCUAAGCUGCCUGGAUUAUGUGGUUGCCAUAAUGACUUCUCUGUACCCGUGGGACAAAUAUUUGCACUCGAAAUAGCGACAGCAGCCAUGCAUUUCCUGCUGACAUAGAAUUAGGUUCCACAAUGUCAUCUGAUGCAUACACAUGCUGUGAUGUGGUUGGUGUGGCCAUGCUCUUUUUUCCUCCCUUCAAGUAUGCUGGUGAACUGCCACUAGUUACAGAUGUCUGCAAGGAGUGCGCACUGUGCGAGUGCUGCACGUGAAUUGAAAUUACGACCACCACAGUGAUGAUAAAGAACACAUUGAAAAGUAAUCUGACAACACUUAUCAAGACUGUCUACAAGCUUUCUGUGAGAGAUUUCCUCAGGGUUGACAAAAACCAUCUUAGGGACCAUUUAAUGGGGUGUUACCGCCCACAUUAUGAGAUGAAAGAAAAGGAAGCCAUUACGAUUUCUCUGGUGGUGCAAGGUGCUCUAAUAGAUGGCUUUGAAUUGCAAUAGACAUAAAUAUUAUCAUUCUA